UCGAACCCUGCAAAGCAGAACGACCCGCGAACACGUAAAAACAACCGAGCAUCGAGUGGGUUAAGCGCUUGUUUGAUCCUCUCGAUGCUUUGCCGAUGUGCAUUUACUUGUGUUCUUUUGGACAUGAUGAAUGCGUCGUUGGCGCCAAUAACAACCCCCGGCACAAUGUGUGCCAAGGAAAACUAAACUUAAGAAGGCUUGUUUAAUGUUGCCCCGUUCGCGGUGUGCUCAUGAGACGUGGCUUCUUUAUAAAUCGCGUCGCCCCCAACAAAUCUAUGUUGGGGGCGGAUAUUGGUCUCCCGUGCUCAUGGUGUGGUUGGCCAAAAUAGGAGUCCCUUCGAUGGACACACGAACUAGUGGUGGACGUAAAAACCCUCGAUCUUUGUUCUGUGUUAGUCGCAAGGAAAAACUCUUCGAAUACCCCAACGUGUUGUCUUCGGAUGACGCUUCGACCG
Molecule: ribosomal RNA, 455 nt
Filed under: Anthemis arvensis
Lineage: Eukaryota; Viridiplantae; Streptophyta; Magnoliopsida; Asterales; Asteraceae
Description: partial internal transcribed spacer
Source: RNAcentral